Long non-coding RNA from Rosa rugosa (rugosa rose), 1555 nucleotides. RefSeq lists it as uncharacterized. NCBI's taxonomy places the organism in Eukaryota, Viridiplantae, Streptophyta, Magnoliopsida, Rosales, Rosaceae. The record is from RefSeq and is a predicted model, not a curated record. The transcript is spliced from 2 exons.
GUGAUGAGUAAAUAAAGUUGGGAUUCUACCAAGAACAGAACCCCAAAGCUCUUCCCUAAACCCAGGAUCAGUGGCCUCUUCCGACCCAAGCUCCACCCCCGGCGACGGCGAUGCCAAGGACAACUCCGUAGCCAAGAGCCCAAGACUGCCGGGCUUGUGGUCUUCUCGGGCAUCGCCAUUAGUAUUCUCAAAGCCGCGCCUUAAACCCUUUUAACAAGAGCACAACCACUCAAGAAACUCUUCACCCACUCUGACUGUGAGUCAACUCAGCUCCCAUCAGAGCCUCAGCAAUCCAUUGUUGUCAAGGCACCACCGCAGCCUACUGAACCUAAAAUCAUUACCAGCAAUGCCAGCAUGGACCAAAGUGUGCCAGACACACCGGAACCGCUGCACAGAACAAUAGAUACUGAGAAAGGAGAUACUCUUUGGGGGCUCUCUAGAAGAUAUGGGGUACACGUUUUCUGCUCUUUAAUUAAUUUUUGAUACAUGAAUGUUUUAUGUGAACAUUUUUCUUUGAGAAGUUUGCAAGUAAAAGUACUUCUUGUAGUGUUUAUCGGUGAUGACUGAGAAUUGAGGGGUAACUGGGUAAGGAUCCUGCUUAGUCAUGUUUGCUAACCUCAGAUUGUUUGAAGUAUAUUGUAUAGAUGUUGGAAACACCAUUAGGUUGUUUGAUAAAUAAUCACAUACACUGCUAGUUCUCCAGAGACUUCAUGGCUGCAUUUUGGUAAAGUUCAUGCAAUUUUAUUCUUCAAUAUUGUGGGAUUUCAUGAAGAGUAUUAAGGAAAACUAAGAAAUGGCACAAUGAGUGAAAAAAAUGCAAAUAUAAUUCAUUCAACAACGAUGAUGCAGCUGACUGGAUUAAGAAAGUUGAAUUUUCUCUUGGUUGCUAGAACAAUAUGGUGCUUAACUUUGCAGGAGUGCAGCCACAUAUGUGAAAUAUUAAAGGUUGAGACCAUCUAGAUCUGUUUUGCCAUUUGCAAGACUUAGUUCAGUUGAAACAACAAUGAUACAGGAAACUUACUUUAGUGCAAAAAACAAUGAUAUGGUUUAUUGUAUUUGUUAAUGUAACUGAAGGUGAGAUCCAUGUUUGGUGGAACUCUGAAGAACUAACAGAAGUAAUCAUGUUUGCAUGCCCAAGUAUAUUUCUUUCCUUGAUUUUACUGAAGUGUUGCAACCAGUACGAAGUAAUACCAUUUUCCUAUUUUUAUUUGGCUGUUGCGAAUUUUAUUUUAUGGAUACAGUUGCAUCUUUGCUUUCAGUUGAUAUAUUUGUUCCAUGAUAUAUCUAUGUAUCAAUUGACGAAAUCAAAGAGGCUAAUGGUAUUAAAGGGGACACCAUCUCCGCUGGCAAGAAGCUCGUCAUUCCAUGAAAACUUAUUCUCUGUGUCUCGGGUUAGUAUAGAGUGAAAGAAAAACUGGUUUUGAAGAAUUCUCAGGAGGAAUGUAUGAGUUUCCAGGCUCUGGAUUCACCCUCUUAAGACUGGAAAGCAAAGUGAGUGUAACAUGUAGUCUUGUACUCUUGUAGCUUUGAAAUUUCAAUGGAGAAAUCUUUUUCA